UACGGAGGGUGCAAGCGUUAUCCGGAUUCACUGGGUUUAAAGGGUGCGUAGGCGGGUAUAUAAGUCAGUGGUGAAAGCUCCGGGCUUAACUUGGAACUGCCAUUGAUACUGUAUAUCUUGAAUGGUCGUUGAGGUAAGCGGAAUGUUGCAUGUAGCGGUGAAUGCUUAGAUAUGUUACAGAACACCAAUUGUGAAGACAGCUUACUAAGCGAUAAUUGA
RNAcentral lists this ribosomal RNA (219 nucleotides) under uncultured bacterium. RNAcentral's name for it is "partial 16S ribosomal RNA". It matches the Rfam family "Bacterial small subunit ribosomal RNA", at positions 524 to 743 of the family's 1533-position model. The record is from RNAcentral.